Molecule: non-coding RNA, 147 nt
Filed under: Gorilla gorilla gorilla (western lowland gorilla)
Lineage: Eukaryota; Metazoa; Chordata; Mammalia; Primates; Hominidae
Source: Rfam by way of RNAcentral
GCUGGGUACGGUGGCGCGUGCCUGUAAUCCCAGCUACUCAGGAGGCUGAGGCAGGAGAAUCGCUUGAACCAGGGAGUCGGAGGUUGCAGUGAGCCGAGAUUGUGCCACUGCCUUCCAGCCUGGCAACAGAGCGAGACUCUGUCUCAA